Molecule: ribosomal RNA, 470 nt
Filed under: Bacillus subtilis
Lineage: Bacteria; Bacillati; Bacillota; Bacilli; Caryophanales; Bacillaceae
Description: bacterial SSU rRNA
Rfam family: Bacterial small subunit ribosomal RNA
Source: RNAcentral
CUUGCUCCUGAUGUUACGGCGGACGGGUGAGUACACGUGGGUACCUGCCUGUAAGACUGGGAUAACUCCGGGAAACCGGGGCUAAUACCGGAUGCUUGUUUGAACCGCAUGGUUCAAACAUAAAAGGUGGCUUCGGCUACCACUUACAGAUGGACCCGCGGCGCAUUAGCUAGUUGGUGAGGUAAUGGCUCACCAAGGCAACGAUGCGUAGCCGACCUGAGAGGGUGAUCGGCCACACUGGGACUGAGACACGGCCCAGACUCCUACGGGAGGCAGCAGUAGGGAAUCUUCCGCAAUGGACGAAAGUCUGACGGAGCAACGCCGCGUGAGUGAUGAAGGUUUUCGGAUCGUAAAGCUCUGUUGUUAGGGAAGAACAAGUACCGUUCGAAUAGGGCGGUACCUUGACGGUACCUAACCAGAAAGCCACGGCUAACUACGUGCCAGCAGCCGCGGUAAUACGUAAGUGGCAA